Molecule: ribosomal RNA, 468 nt
Filed under: uncultured bacterium
Lineage: Bacteria
Description: partial 16S ribosomal RNA
Rfam family: Bacterial small subunit ribosomal RNA
Source: RNAcentral
GACGAACGCUGGCGGCGUGCUUAACACAUGCAAGUCGAACGGAAAGGCCCUGCUUUUGUGGGGUGCUCGAGUGGCGAACGGGUGAGUAACACGUGAGUAACCUGCCCUUGACUUUGGGAUAACUUCAGGAAACUGGUGCUAAUACCGGAUAGGAGCUCCUGCUGCAUGGUGGGGGUUGGAAAGUUUCGGCGGUUGGGGAUGGACUCGCGGCUUAUCAGCUUGUUGGUGGGGUAGUGGCCUACCAAGGCUUUGACGGGUAGCCGGCCUGAGAGGGUGACCGGCCAAAUUGGGACUAAGAUACGGCCCAGACUCCUACGGGAGGCAGCAGUGGGAAAAAUGGCACAAUGAGCGGAAGCCUGAUGCAGCAACGCCGCGUGCGGGAUGACGGCCUACGGGUUGUAAACCGCUGUCGCCUGUGACGAAGCGUGAGUGACGGUAAUGGGUAAAGAAGCACCGGCUAACUACGUG